CGAUAUGCUCACGACUACUACGGUAGACGUGAGAAAAGGUGGCCUCUGGCAUAAGCUAUCGCUUGGGGAUGUGCUCGCGGACCAUUAGCUAGUUGGUAGGGUAAUGGCCUACCAAGGCUACGAUGGUUAGCUGGCCUGAGAGGGUGGCCAGCCACACUGGAACUGAGAUACGGUCCAGACUCCUACGGGAGGCAGCAGUGGGGAAUCUUGCGCAAUGGGGGAAACCCUGACGCAGCAACGCCGUGUGAGUGACGAAGGCUUUCGGGUCGUAAAGCUCUGUCAGAUGGGAAGAAUUAGUUUGCUGAAAAUAUCGGCAAAUGAUGACGGUACCAUCAAAGGAAGCACCGGCUAACUCCGUGCCAGCAGCCGCGGUAAUACGGAGGGUGCAAGCGUUGUUCGGAUUAUUGGGCGUAAAGCGCGUGUA
This 424-nucleotide ribosomal RNA is filed under the name uncultured bacterium. Its description in RNAcentral is "bacterial SSU rRNA". It matches the Rfam family "Bacterial small subunit ribosomal RNA", at positions 171 to 573 of the family's 1533-position model. The record is from RNAcentral.